Molecule: non-coding RNA, 280 nt
Filed under: Agrilus planipennis (emerald ash borer)
Lineage: Eukaryota; Metazoa; Arthropoda; Insecta; Coleoptera; Buprestidae
Description: Eukaryotic small subunit ribosomal RNA
Rfam family: Eukaryotic small subunit ribosomal RNA
Source: Rfam by way of RNAcentral
AUCUGAUAUAAAUCAACACGUGUUGUGAGCUACAGACAACAACGGCCGUUACUUUACCGGUAUAUAUCAUACUUAGCAUUUUGUGGAAAUAGCUUUAAAUUAAAACAUAAGCAUUUACGUGUUCAAUAAAUAUACGUGUUUCAUUAAUGUGAAAGGUAAUUUUACACCUACCAUGACUGAAUUCUAUUCCGGAGAGGGAGCCUGAGAAAUGGCUACCACGUCCAAGGAAGGCAGUAGGCGCUCUAAUUACCCACUCCCGGUACGGGGAGGUAGUGACGAA